This 448-nucleotide ribosomal RNA is filed under the name Novakiella trituberculosa. RNAcentral describes it as "partial 16S large subunit ribosomal RNA". It matches the Rfam family "Bacterial large subunit ribosomal RNA", at positions 1832 to 2601 of the family's 2925-position model. Lineage: Eukaryota; Metazoa; Arthropoda; Arachnida; Araneae; Araneidae. The record is from RNAcentral.
UUCUUACUAAAUUUUUGUAAGUAACACCUGCUCAAUGACAUAUUUAAUAGCCGCGGAAAUUUAACUGUGCUAAGGUAGCAUAAUCAUUAGCCCCUUAAUUAGGGGCUUGUACGAAGGGUGAAACAUUUCAAUUUCUAUUUUAUUUAAUUUUUUCUAACUUAAAUUAAAAAUAAUAAUGUUUUUAUAAAAAAAAUAGACGAUAAGACCCUUUUGAACUUUACUGAAGUUUAGCUGGGGCAGCUAUAAAAUAAUAAUCUUUUAUCAUUUUAUUUUCUUAAAUGACCCAAUAUAAUUGAUUAUUUGAACAAGUUACCAUAGGGAUAACAGCGUAAUUUCUUUUUAAAGCUCUUAUUAAAAAAGAAGAUUGCGACCUCGAUGUUGAAUUAGUGAAACUUUAACAAUGCAGCCAUUUUAAAAGUAGGUCUGUUCGACCUUUAAAACACUACAU